This 899-nucleotide ribosomal RNA is filed under the name uncultured bacterium. RNAcentral's name for it is "bacterial SSU rRNA". It matches the Rfam family "Bacterial small subunit ribosomal RNA", at positions 8 to 916 of the family's 1533-position model. The record is from RNAcentral.
AGAGUUUGAUCCUGGCUCAGAACGAACGCUGGCGGCGGGCCUAACACAUGCAAGUCGAACGCGAAAGUAGGUUCGCCUAUGAGUAGAGUCGGCGCACGGGUGAGUAAUGGUUAGGUAACGUACCUCUUCGCUGUGGAUAACCAGGGAAACCUUGGCUAAUACAGAAUAGUUCGAACUAGACUGCGGUCAUGUUCGAUAAAGCCGUAAGGCGCGGAGAGAGCGGCUUAACUCCUAUCAGCUUGUUGGUAGUGUAAAAGACUACCAAGGCUACGACGGGUAGCUGGUCUGAGAGGAUGAUCAGCCACACUGGAACUGGAACACGGUCCAGACUCCUACGGGAGGCAGCAGUUAGGAAUUUUGCGCAAUGGGCGAAAGCCUGACGCAGCAACGCCGCGUGAGGGAGGAAGGCCUUCGGGUUGUAAACCUCUUUCGGUUGGAAAGAAAAAAAUGACGGUACCAACAGAAGAAGCACCGGCUAGCUACGUGCCAGCAGCCGCGGUAAUACGUAGGGUGCAAGCGUUAUUCGGAUUCACUGGGCGUAAAGCGCAUGUAGGCGGUUUGCCAAGUCUGAUGUGAAAUCCCUGGACUCAAUUCAGGAACUGCAUCGGAUACUGGUUUACUCGAGUAUAGGAGGGGAGAGCGGAAUUUCUGGUGUAGAGGUGAAAUUCGUAGAUAUCAGAAGGAACAACGGUGGCGAAAGCGGCUCUCUGGACUAUAACUGACGCUGAGAUGCGAAAGCGUGGGGAGCAAACAGGAUUAGAUACCCCUGGUAGUCCACGCUGUAAACSAUGGGCACUAGAUGUCGGACCUUCUUACCCGGUUCGGUGUCGUAGCUAACGCGUUAAGUGCCCCGCGCUGGGGAGUACGGCCGCAAGGCUAAAACUCAAAGGAAUUGACGG